AGUCCUCCCACGUCGUCUUGAGAUAGAACCGUCAAGGCACCGGGAUCCUUGUGUCUACCAACACCAAGGGCUAGGUCAGGGGCAGGGCAGGGAGGAUAGUGAUUGAGCCGGAUCAAGCUGGUCGAGUCUUUGAAGAAUCCACUGAACCGGUUUGCUUCCAAGCCUAAGCUCAAGGCUAUGAAUUCCAUUAAUUUGUAACACAAUUUUUCCACUUCUUGAGCAUAUUUUUCGCAUACCUCCCUGAUUCAAGAAAUCUAUUAGAUACUAUUGGCAUUUAAUUUGACAUUAAAAAAUGUUUUUUUUUUUUGGCAAAAUCUGGACAAUAAUAAUAUAAAUGUACGGAGGGAAAUACAAUUUUAAAUUAAUUAGUUUUUUUGCCGAAUUUUUAUAUAAAUGAGGGACAAAUGGAGUAGCUAGCUAGUUGAACACAUUACCUCAACUCCGGUGGAUAAUCCGGCCAUUUAUUAACCACCUCUUUCACAGCCGUGUCAUCAGGAUCAAGAGACGCCGGCAACAAAGUCGGAAUCCUCACGGGAAAAUCAAACACUUCUUUCCAAUCCCUAACAUUUUUGGUAUGCUCGGUAUCAUAAUAACCCAUCGGAUUCUCUUCAUCUCUCCUAACCUUCAAUUUCUCUUCUUUCGACUGACCAAAGAACUUCCUCGAUGCCAAUUCCAUCUUUUGCCGCAAUUCCAAAUCUACCCCAUGAUAGAUCACUUGGAAAAAUCCCCAAUUCUUGCAGGCAUCGCCGAUCUGGGUAACUAAAAUUUCUGGGUUUGAUUCAGAAAGAUCGAUUAACGGGAUGCCUUCGGCUUCGAUGAUGGUAGGUUUAGGCCUGUGCUCAAUGGCUUGAAUGAAGCUUGGAUCAACUUCUCCCAUGGCUAAUUUAGAUAAAUAAUAUUAAUUAUAGUUAACUUGGUUGAGAGAUAGGUUGGUUGAGCGUAAUUGUUAAGGAAACGUAAUAGUGACACUAUAAUAUAUAGGAGAGAAAUGAGAAUAGUUAGAAUGAUUUAUUACAUUGAGUACGGACAUGAUUGUUGUUUAGUACCGGUAGUGGUGAGUAUAAAUUUAAUUUUGAUCAAUUAAUUAAUAUAUUAUUUAUAUGUAGAUAAGAUGUGAUUUUUUAUUUUUUUUUACGUAUUAAUAUUGUAUUAAUCUAUUGAUCAACCUACUAUUAAGUUAAUUUCAUAUUAACAGAAUCCUUUAUUAUCACUAUGUUUGAUUUUUUGUGACUUAAUAACUAAUUUUUUUAUGACUCUUAUACAGUGUUAUCUGAAACAUAAAACGUACAUAAACGUCGUAUGCUAUAUAACUAAAACACGAUGCAUUAAAAUAUAUUUAUAUAAAUUUUUAUAAUUAAAAAUUAUCUUAAAAUUUAAAUAUAAUAAAUCUAAAUUUUAUAAAAGAUUUUUAACUGAAUCAAAAAAUUAAUUGUUAUAUAAAUAUUUUAAGUACAAAUGUAAUAUUUGAUCGAUCGUGCAUUCAAUACUAAAUUAUACUUAAUAUUAAUAUUUGUUUCUACAGGAGAAUUAAUUGAUAAAUAAGUUAAAUGAUGGUGGGUCCCACAGUAGAAAUAAUUGCUAAAUAAGUUAAAUGAUGGUGGGUCCCACAGGAGAAAUAAUUGCUAAAUAAGUUAAAUGACGAUGGGUCCCACAGGAGAAAUAAUCACUAAAGUUUGCUGAUAAAAAAAUACAAAAUCUUUCGAGAAUUAUUCAUCAAUUAUUAUUAUAUAAUAUAUCUUCUCCAUUAUUGACCUAAUGUUAUGUAAUUUUUUAUUACUACUUUUGUUAUUGACCUAAUGAAAUUUUUCAUUACUAUUGUUGUGUUCACUAUUCAACACUAAAUAAAUACUGACAAUCAAAUCGUUCUCAACUCUUUUGUAAAAACAACGCCAAUUAAAUAAUUCAUUUUUCAUUGCUCCAUACCUGCAUUAAUUAGAAUAUCAUCAUCAAGAAUUAUACUGUUACUACUAAUUGCCUAUUCAGAUGAAGAACAUGAUCUUACUAGCUAGUACGUACUUCCAUGCAUGUCCUAAUUUAGAUGAAAAUUAAAUGAUUGUAAGAGUAACUCAAAAUUAAUAAUUUUGUUAAUUUGGAGAAAUUAAAUUAUAAAAAAUACCUGAACCAUGUCACCAACAUUGAUAAUAUAAGCAUUAGGAGUACCUGCAGGUGAUCACCCGAAUCCACUCCCCCAUCAGAUUUUCGCUUUACUUCAAGUCCUCCCACGUCGUCCUGAGCUAGAACGGUUAUUGCACUAGUAUCCUUGUGUCUACCAACACCAGGGGCUAGGUCACGAAAGGGGCAGUGUGGAUCAUGCAUGAGCCUGAUGAAGCUGGUCGAGUCUUUGAAGAAUCCACCAAAUCGGUUUGCUUCCAAGCCUAAACUCAGGGCUAUGAAUUCCAGUAAUUUGUAACAAAGUUUUUCCAUUUCUUGGGCAUAUUUUUCGCAUACCUCCCUGGUUCAUAAAAUCUAUGAAUUUGCAUCCAAGCUAGAAAUCAGAGACUGUAAAUAACUUAAAUUCACAAUUCAACCAAUAUAUCUAUCAUUGCUUAAACAAUUAAUAUUAUAGCCAGCUAGCUAGCUAGCUAGUUAUGUGAAAUGGAGUAUAAAUCAACUGAAGUUUGGUGGAUAUUGAGGCCACUGAUUAACCCACUCUUUUAUCUCUAAUUUGUCGUCAUCAGGCUCAUGUGAAUUGAAGCGAGCAUCAAGGUUGGAUUCUCAACAGUAAUAUCAAACACUUCUUUCCAGUCUCUUACAUUUUUAGUAUGCUCCUUAUCAUAAUAACCUAACGGGAUGCCUUCGGCUUCGAUGAUGGUAGGUUUAGGCUGGAUCAACUUAAUUCUCUCAAAUUAAUCUACCGGUAGUAGUUAAAUAUGUCGAGAGAGAUGCUGGGUGGGUGGUUUGUUUGUAAGAAAGGUAACAUACAUACGGGUGGAUAUACGGGGUAUAUACUAUAUACAUCGAACCUGGACAUUAUUUUUGUUUAUUAGUCCUAUGUUUGAUUUUUUUUACUUGGUAAAUUAUAAUUUUUGAGGGACGCCCAUGAAUGUAGCUCUCCCGGCGAUUGAAUGAUUGUGUCUCAAGAGUCAAGGGGUUAGCUCAUGCCUCAUGGUAUAUGUACCCCCUUCGUUAAAAACUAUGCCACAUGAUCUAAUAUUGUUAACUUCAAGGGGUAAGGGACAAGGAUCCUGUCCAUUUCAGCUUCCGUAUUUAAUUGUUGAGAAUUUAUAAAUUUUACUAUGCAAGUGCAUGUCACACUGAUGUGAUAAUUUGAUAUGUAUAUAAAAUCUACUAUCAACAGUAUAAUUAAAACAGAAACAUUUAGGUUUUGUUGCGGUCAUUGACUCAGUAGUACCUGCAUUGAGCUGUAAGUUGAACAAUUUAUUGAUCUCUGUACGUACACUAAUUUUUCCUUUAACAUCCAUCACAUAUACAGUAAUAGUAAUGCUAUGAUGACGUGAAAGGACGCCUAGCUAGCCAUAUUAAUGUACUUGACAUUACAAGUUUAUUGCCUGAAAUCAAGAGGCCGGGUUGACAUAUGACAACUAUUCUGAUAUCCUGAAAUGAUAUAUCUGGAGGUUUUCAACAUUGGAUUUCUUGAAAUUACCACGUUUUCGCGUAGCUGAAAAUUUACCCCAGCUAUACGCCCUAUACUUGGCUGGAUUUUCCUCAUUUGUUAGCUCAUCUAAAGGCUUCACCAUAGUUGAGUGAUUGGGGUUGAAGAAAAAUGGGAUGGAAAACCUUUCCUUCUUUGAGUUCACCAUUACUCUGUGCUCCACACUCUCGUACUUGUCAUUGCUCCAUACCUGCAUUCAUUUUAUUUUCAUAUGAGGAUUUUAAAAUUGAUGCAGUGCAAAUUGAAGUCCGAAAUUUAUGAAUAAAUUAUACCUGCAUUAUGUCACCAACAUUGAUAAUAUAAGCAUUACGAGUAGGUUUCACCCGAAUCCACUCUCCAUCAGUUUUUCGCUUUACUUCAAGUCCUCCCACGUCGUCUUGAGCUAGAACCGUCAAGGCACCGGAAUCCUUGUGUCUACCUACACCAAGGACUAGGUCAGGGACAGGGCAAGGCGAAUAGUGAUUCAGCCGGAUCGAGCUGGUCGAGUCUUUGAAGAAUCCACUGAACCGGUUUGCUUCCAAGCCUAAGCUCAAGGCUAUGAAUUCCAUUAAUUUGUAACACAGUUUUUUCACUUCUUUAGCAUAUUCUUCGCAUACCUCCCUAAUUCAACAAACCAAUUAAACACACUUGGCAUUUAAAAGGGGGACAACUUUAACAGGAGCGGACUAAAUACCGGUAUAUAUGUGAGUGAGAGUUACCACUCGAGUACCUAAAUUAUACUACCCUAGUUUUCUUUAGACCUUUUUACAAAAAUAUAAAUAUAUGGAUGUAAAUAACUUGUAAAAUAUGGAGAAAUACAUAUUUUAUUUAAUUUUAGAUUUUGGGUUUGAAAAUUUCAAACACGUCAAAGUCUUGUUCGUCUAAUAAUAUAUAAUUUAUUUCACAACUUAUUUAAUUCAUAAAUACAGUAUUUAAAAUCCAAACGACUAUAUAUAGCUUCAAACUAGAACCGACAAAUAGGUGGGUGCCGAGGACAUAAGUGGGUUUUGAUAUAUAUGGGUUGAGUUUAAAUAGGUUAUUGAAUGAGACCCAAUUCAUGUGAGUGAGGACUUGUGAAAAUAUCAAUUUCCUUUGUGGAAAUAUCAAUUCUCUAAAUUAAUAUAUAUAUGGAUUCCUCAUAUAUAUAUUCUGUAUAACAAAAUUCAUUUUUUUUAGUUUUUAUCUCAAAAAAUUUAUAAAAUAUAUUUGGGUGGACUAUCGAAAAUUAAAUUAUUGGUGUAGAAGAAAAGAAAUUAAAAAUUAUACAUGCAUCGCAGUAUAAAGAUCUCGAAGACAAGAUUGAAUUGCAUAAAUAAUCAGGAAUGAUUUGAUUAAAUAAACAGACAAACAGGCUACAGAAUAAAGAUCUAUUCAACAACUUGCAAAUAUUCAUGUACAUCAUGGUGCAUAGAAAUAUUUAAAUAGUAUGUAAAAUAUAUUAGUCAAUUGUAAGUUUUAUUUGUUUAAAUGUAUUAUUAUCUUUAAAAAUAUUUAAAUUAUUGUAGUAAUUUAGAAAGGAAGGGAUAUGCUAUUUUACCUGAAGUGUGGUGGAUAUUGAGGCCACUUAUUAACCCACUCUUUUAUGUCUUUGUUAUGAGGCUCAUGAGAAGCGAACAUCUGCGUGGGAUUAUCCACAUAAAAAUCGAACACUUGUUUCCAAUCUCUCACAUUUUUGGUAUGCUCAGUAUCAGAAUAGCCAAUUGAGAUCACUUCAUUUCUCCUCACCUUCAGCUUCUCCUCUUUGGACUGACCAAAAAACUCCCUCGAUGCCAAUAAAAUCUUUUCUUGUAAUUCUAAUGGCACCCCAUGAUUUAUGACUUGGAAAAAUCCCCAAUUCUGGCAGGCUUCUUCUAUUCGGGAAACUAAAAGUUUUGAAUCCGAUAUUGAAAGAUCGAUUUGUGGGAUCCCUUCGGCUUCGAUUAUACAAGGUUUCGGUCUGUGUUCAAUAGCUUGGAUGAAGCAUGGAUCAACUUCUUCCAUGGUGGUGUUGGUGGACACAAUUUAUAUACUACUAUUAAGUUUGUUGGUUUUGGUUUUGGUUGUAGGAAAGGUAAUUGUUCCACUGUAGUAGUAAUAUGUAGUAGGAUGAGAAAUGAGUGUGGUGGGGAAUACUUUGAAUCUGGACAUUAAUAUUUAAAAAACAACAGAAAGAAAAAGCAGAAACAUGAAUACAAAAAUAAUUACCAAAUGAACCCAAAAAACUUUUCAAAAUGAAGAAGGCCAAUCAAUUUUAUAUCAAGGUUCAAUUUUUUUUUUCUUUUGUUUUUUCUUCUUGGAUUAAGAUACAACCAUGAAUCUUCCAUUGCACGUUCACAAAAAAACAAUUACUUCCACUACUCCCACUCCCUUGAGACUUGGUAGUAAUUUACUUUUUCUUGCUUCCCAUAAUUGUGUUGCACCUGAUCUUUUCUACAAUUAAUUUCCUCAUGCAUGACGUAUCUUUGAAUAUUUUACAAAAUGGGGUACUUAUUUAAUUAUUUUAUAGAUUAAGAUUAUUGUACUGAGAAAUUAAGUAAUAUAAGUAUUUAAUUUCCACACUGAUCAUGUUAUUAAGAAUUUAUAAAAAUAUCACUAUAGUUUUUGUUAAAUAGCACCUCUUCUUUUAUGAGUUUUGAUCAAUUUUAGAAUUAAUUUAGACUCAUUAAUUGAUUUUCAAUUAAAAGUGCAUUUGAUAGUCUAAUACAAGGAGAUUAAGAGAGAACAUGACUCAAGUAGUAAUUAUAUAUUGUAUUUUAAUUAUAUCCAAAAUGAGGUAUAUAAAAAGGUUUAUUGUUGUUUUAAAAAACUAUAUUUUGUAAGUUGAACGUCGAUAUAAGAAAUAAAACUAUUUAAUGCUUUAUAAGUAUAAGUGAAACAAUUUAAUUUUUUUGUGGUACUAAAGGACAUGCACUUGGUCGCAAUGACGUGCUGCAAAGCACCACCUUCUCGCGACCCGAUAGCGGGUGUGAGUUUGCGUUGCAUUGGCGAUUAAGGCGCACUUUUCAAAUUCUCUCUUCUUACCCUCUUAAGGAGAUGGACUUCCCCUCCUGUUUUAACUCUUGUGUGUCUUAUUCUUCUUUCAAUUUCAAACUAUAUAUAUAUAUAUAUAUAUAUAUAUAUAUAUAUAUAGUAUAUCAAGUCUCAAACUACUCUCAAUUUUGUUAAUUAUUAUAUAUCAUUAUUACAUGCAUACAGCUUUGAACUAUUUAUUAAUCUUUGUACAUUACGUAACAUCAUAAUUCAUACCCCACUGAGUAAUUAUGUAUACUGCUAUCAUGAGGUGAGUGGCCGCCUAGCCAUAUGUAGUUGAGUGCAUCAAACUUAUAUGAAAUCAAGAGCUCACAAAGCUAGGUUGACAUGAUAAUUAUUCUGUUAUCUUGAAAUGAUAUAUCUGUAUGUUUUCAACAUCGAGUUUCUUGAAAUUACUAAGUAUUCGCGUAGUUCUAAAUUUUCCCCAGCUAUACGCCCUAUACUUGGCAGGGUUCUUCUCAUUUGUUAGCUCAUCUAGAGGCUCCACCAUAGUUGAGUGCUUGGGGGUGAAGAAAAAUGGGAUGGAAAACCUUUCCCUCUUUGAGUUCACCAUUACCCUGUGCUCCACACUCUCGUACUUGUCAUUGCUCCAUACCUGCAUUAAAUUACCAUCAAGAAUUGGCCUAAUCGUAUAUAUUUGAGAUAUGGAUCGAACACCUAACAAAUACCCUUGCAUGUGUCCUAAAAUGAAUAUUACCUAUUAAUAUUACUUUUAUUUCUGUAGAGAAAAUGAUUGCCAAAAAUUCUCCAAAUUAAUAGACAAAACACAAAAUCACGACGGUAGAAUAUACCUGAAUUAUGUCACCAACAUUAAUAAUAUAAGCAUUAGGAGUAGGUUUUACUCGAAUCCAUUCUCCAUCAGUUUUACGCUUUACUUCAAGUCCUCCGACGUCGUCUUGAGCUAGAACGGUCAAGGCACCUGGAUCCUUGUGUCUGCCAACACCAAGGGCUAGGUCAGGGGCAGGACAGGGCGGAUAGUGAUUGAUCCUGAUCGAGCUGGUUGAGUCUUUGAAGAAUCCAUUGAACAGGUUUGCUUCCAAGCCUAAGCUCAAGGCUAUGAAUUCCAGUAUUUUGUAACACAAUUU
This 7686-nucleotide long non-coding RNA is filed under the name Panax ginseng (ginseng). RNAcentral describes it as "long non-coding RNA (PGIN_LNC002092)". The record is from RNAcentral. Lineage: Eukaryota; Viridiplantae; Streptophyta; Magnoliopsida; Apiales; Araliaceae.